This is a long non-coding RNA of Miniopterus natalensis, 503 nucleotides long. RefSeq lists it as uncharacterized. The record is from RefSeq and is a predicted model, not a curated record. NCBI's taxonomy places the organism in Eukaryota, Metazoa, Chordata, Mammalia, Chiroptera, Miniopteridae.
UCUGCUUCUGUUUUGUUGGUUAUUUUGUUCUUUAGAUUCCACAUAAAACUGAAAUCAUAUGGUAUCUGUCUUUCUCCGUCUGACCUGUUUCACUGAGCAUAACACCCCCUGGCCCGCCCACGUUGUUGAAAAUGACGGGUCACAGAGCUGUGGUCUGUUUGGAGACCGGAAGACAUCCCCAGCUCAGUAACGAAGACCCCGGGCAGGAUGACGCCAGGGGACAGAUAAAUCAGAUUAAAGAAAUCACGCAAGGCCCUAUCCUAAGUGAUCCACAGAGCCGAUGACCUCGAACCCUUUACUGAACCGAGAGGCGAGCUCGUGACCCAUCCCGACCCGCCUUCUGCAUUCGCAAUGCCGGAGAAUGUCAGCCUCUGGAUGGGUCGCCUGCGACACGCCCGACGGUUUCCGUCUAAUCCCGAGAAGGCUAACGGUGGCUGGACGUUAGCGAGCAGAACACGCUUUUCACGGUUACACGCAGACGGCGGCCCCCGUGGAGCUGGCAU